UGGGGGAUAUUGCACAAUGGGCGAAAGCCUGAUGCAGCGACGCCGCGUGGGGGAUGAAGGCUUUCGGGUUGUAAACCUCUUUCGCUAUCGAACAAGGCCCGCUUAGGGUGGGUUGAGGGUAGGUGGAGAAGAAGCGCCGGCUAACUACGUGCCAGCAGCCGCGGUAAUACGUAGGGCGCGAGCGUUGUCCGGAAUUAUUGGGCGUAAAGGGCUUGUAGGCGGCUUGUUGCGCCUGCUGUGAAAACGCGGGGCUUAACUUCGCGCGUGCAGUGGGUACGGGCAGGCUUGAGUGUGGUAGGGGUGACUGGAAUUCCAGGUGUAGCGGUGGAAUGCGCAGAUAUCUGGAGGAACACCGAUGGCGAAGGCAGGUCACUGGGCCAUUACUGACGCUGAGGAGCGAAAGCAUGGCUAGCGAACAGG
This 420-nucleotide ribosomal RNA is filed under the name bacterium. RNAcentral describes it as "partial 16S ribosomal RNA". It matches the Rfam family "Bacterial small subunit ribosomal RNA", at positions 355 to 776 of the family's 1533-position model. The record is from RNAcentral.